AAUCAACGCUGGCGGCGUGCCUCAGACAUGCAAGUCGAACGAUUAAAGCUCUCUUCGGAGAGUGUAUAGAGUGGCGCACGGGUGAGUAACACGUAAGUAAUCUACCCUCGAGUGGGGAAUAACGUCCGGAAACGGACGCUAAUACCGCAUAAUGCAGCGGCACCGCAAGGUGACAGUUGUUAAAGGAGAAAUUCGCUUGAGGAGGAGCUUGCGGCAGAUUAGCUUGUUGGUAAGGUAACGGCUUACCAAGGCUACGAUCUGUAACCGGUCUUAGAGGACGGUCGGUCACACUGACACUGAAUAACGGGUCAGACUCCUACGGGAGGCAGCAGUCGGGAAUUUUGGGCAAUGGGCGAAAGCCUGACCCAGCAACGCCGCGUGAAGGAUGAAGUAUUUUCGGUAUGUAAACUUCGAAAGAAUAGGAAGAAUAAAUGACGGUACUAUUUAUAAGGUCCGGCUAACUACGUGCCAGCAGCCGCGGU
RNAcentral lists this ribosomal RNA (482 nucleotides) under uncultured bacterium. Its description in RNAcentral is "bacterial SSU rRNA". It matches the Rfam family "Bacterial small subunit ribosomal RNA", at positions 32 to 521 of the family's 1533-position model. The record is from RNAcentral.